This 695-nucleotide ribosomal RNA is filed under the name uncultured bacterium. RNAcentral's name for it is "bacterial SSU rRNA". It matches the Rfam family "Bacterial small subunit ribosomal RNA", at positions 64 to 754 of the family's 1533-position model. The record is from RNAcentral.
CGACGGCAGCACGGGAGCAAUCCUGGUGGCGAGUGGCGAACGGGUGAGUAAUGUAUCGGAACGUACCUUUCAGUGGGGGAUAACGUAGCGAAAGUUACGCUAAUACCGCAUAUUCUGUGAGCAGGAAAGCAGGGGAUCGCAAGACCUUGCGCUGAUUGAGCGGCCGAUAUCAGAUUAGCUAGUUGGUGAGGUAAAGGCUCACCAAGGCGACGAUCUGUAGCGGGUCUGAGAGGAUGAUCCGCCACACUGGAACUGAGACACGGUCCAGACUCCUACGGGAGGCAGCAGUGGGGAAUUUUGGACAAUGGGGGCAACCCUGAUCCAGCCAUGCCGCGUGAGUGAAGAAGGCCUUCGGGUUGUAAAGCUCUUUCAGCCGGGAAGAAAUCACAUGGGUUAAUACCCUGUGUGGAUGACGGUACCGGAAUAAGAAGCACCGGCUAACUACGUGCCAGCAGCCGCGGUAAUACGUAGGGUGCGAGCGUUAAUCGGAAUUACUGGGCGUAAAGCGUGCGCAGGCGGUUUGUUAAGAUAGGCGUGAAAUCCCCGGGCUCAACCUGGGAACUGCGUUUAUGACUGGCAGGCUAGAGUAUGGCAGAGGGGGGUGGAAUUCCACGUGUAGCAGUGAAAUGCGUAGAGAUGUGGAGGAACACCGAUGGCGAAGGCAGCCCCCUGGGCCAAUACUGACGCUCAUGCAC